Molecule: small RNA, 142 nt
Filed under: Micromonospora echinaurantiaca
Lineage: Bacteria; Bacillati; Actinomycetota; Actinomycetes; Micromonosporales; Micromonosporaceae
Description: c-di-AMP sequence
Rfam family: c-di-AMP riboswitch aptamer (ydaO/yuaA leader)
About the family: This family represents a conserved RNA structure found upstream of the ydaO and yuaA genes in Bacillus subtilis and related genes in other bacteria. The ydaO/yuaA element is thought to act as a genetic "off" switch for the ydaO and yuaA genes in its native state.
Source: Rfam by way of RNAcentral
CGCGCCGACCCGCCUAAUCGUGAUCAUACGAACCGGGGAACCAAUGCUCCUUUGGGGUGAAUCUGCGGGCUGCGGCCCGUGGUAGGGCGUACUUCCCGCCCGAAUCCGUCAGCUAACCCGGUCGGCGGCGUCGGAAGGAGUU